RNAcentral lists this ribosomal RNA (269 nucleotides) under uncultured Granulicatella sp. Its description in RNAcentral is "partial 16S ribosomal RNA". It matches the Rfam family "Bacterial small subunit ribosomal RNA", at positions 79 to 339 of the family's 1533-position model. The record is from RNAcentral. Lineage: Bacteria; Bacillati; Bacillota; Bacilli; Lactobacillales; Carnobacteriaceae.
CUUGCACUGGUCAAUCUAGUGGCGAACGGGUGAGUAACACGUGGGUAACCUGCCCAUCAGAGGGGGAUAACAUUCGGAAACGGAUGCUAAAACCGCAUAGGUCCUUUAACCGCAUGGUUGAAGGAGGAAAAGAGGCGCAAGCUUCUGCUGAUGGAUGGACCCGCGGUGCAUUAGCUAGUUGGUGAGGUAACGGCUCACCAAGGCCGUGAUGCAUAGCCGACCUGAGAGGGUGAUCGGCCACAUUGGGACUGAGACACGGCCCAAACUCC